This 939-nucleotide non-coding RNA is filed under the name Cryptosporidium parvum. Lineage: Eukaryota; Apicomplexa; Conoidasida; Eucoccidiorida; Cryptosporidiidae. The record is from RNAcentral.
ACGUGGAGUGCGGCUUAAUUGUUCUUUUAAUUGUGUUAGGUGAUUUUCAUAGAUAUGGGCAUCUCCAAUAAAAAUAGCAAGCUCACCUGGUUCAUAACCACAAACUUGAGCAAGCAUCAUGGUAAGUAUGGCAUAGGAUGCAAUGUUAAAUGGAGAUCCUAAUCCCAAGUCACAACUCCUUUGAUAAAGGUUACAACUAAGACAAUUAUCAUUGGUAACAUAGUACUGAGAAAGCACAUGGCAAGGCGGAAGAGCCAUUUGAGAUAGAGCAGAUGGAUUCCAGGCUGUUAGUAUAUGUCUUCUAUCCUUUGGGUUAUUCUUUAAGGUCUCAAUAAGUUUUGCAAGCUGAUCAACUCCAACUCCAGUAUAAUCAUCAUGCAUCGUUUUGUACUCUCCAUUGUAAUGUCUCCACUGAAAACCAUAGAUCGGGCCCAAAUCAUUCUCCUCUCUAUGCCCUAAACCAAUUCUUUCCAAAUAUUCUUUCGAGCCAUUUCCUGACCAAAUAUAAACCUUUUUCUCAAUCAAAUGAUUUCCAUUAGUAUCUCCCUUAAUAAACCAUAUUAAUUCCUCAAAAAUGGACCUGAUUGCAACUUUUUUUGUAGUCAAAAGUGGAAAAGAUUCUCUCAUAUCAAAUCUCAUCAUCUGCCCAAAUAUUGAAUAUGUACUAAUGCCUGUCCUAUUUUCUCUAUAAGCUCCAUUCUCUAAGACCCUAGAAAGAAGGUCUAGGUACUGAAACUCAUAAUGUUCUCUUCCGAAUCGAAUACUUGGAGUGUUGUAGAUUUCUUCUUUUGGAAACUUGUGUCUAUUUCCCAUUUUUCUAAUCCCAAAUAUUUCACCAAGAAGAUCAACAGUAUCAUCUAUGGACUUUAAUUGACCUCUUACAGGGUCACAAUUUUGCAAAGUUUUUUUUUCUUGUUUUUCAAAAACCAUAAAAUCAUA